AGCCCUGUCUUUUGUUUCAGCUGGACCAGACUAACACGGCUACAUUUCUAUUAACAUUAAACAGAGUGCUGUUAAGUGCAUAAAAACAAACAAAAAUCCCUUAAUGUACAAGUCGAGUAAUUUUAGAAAUUAUGCCAGCAAUAUGUACAACGGGAGACCUCCCCAAGAGCAGGCUACACUGCGUUAGGCAUGGUACAGGCGCAGAACCAAAGAUGGCCCCCAAACAAAAAAUAAAAGACAGGGAUGCAAUGGGGCAGUGUGUGGGGAGGGAAGGGGGUGUUAACUGCACACCCAGCGGGGAGAAGAGCAGCCGACAAGACUAGUAACAUAGUCCAGCAGCACAACAUGACAAUUUCUUACUCGUUUGAAAAAGGGCUGUUUUCUUGGGCUACUUUUUUUGCAGUUAUUGCCCAGGACUCAUUCUCUCUCUCCCUUUGGCUCGUCUCAAUUUAAAAACAAACCACAACAACAGCGGAGUUCCUGGUUACCCAAUUUUCCUCCAGGCAGUGCCCUUCCAAGUUCAAUCUCUGCAGUUGUCACGUCCCUCCCCCUAAAUGCCUACUUCAGAUUGUGAGAUUCGCUCUUACAUUUGAGCGUAAGAUCUAGAGCAGGGCUGGGAAACCCUUUUUUGGGUCGGGGGCCAAUGACCCAUGGAAAAAUCAGUCGGGGGCCACACACCACACAGUAGGGUUGGCAGAUGGUUUCCACAAAAAUCGUGGACACACUUGACAUUACGUCACAAUCUACAUCACAUCUUAGUUAGAAAAGUCCGGACAUUCGUAUUCUCCUCAUUUCUAUUGUCUCAAUUUGUUUCCUGGACAAAAAGCUCAAAUACUGGACUGUCCGGUUCAAAACAGGACACCUGGCGACCCUACGCACAAGCGAAAAGAAAAAACCCCUCACGGACAUGGCCCCCCAAUGGAGAAGGAAACACACUGCCCACAUUCUCCUCCUACACCAGAGCCUGGAGGCUAGUAGAUUUUGUGUGGGGCAGCAGGGGGGCUGGAGCACUAGUGAAGGCUCCCCAGUGCUGGAGGGGCCCUGAGCCCUGCAGGCCGGAUCCGCGGGCUGCAUCUGGCCCCUGCACCUGAGGCUCCCCGCCCGGAUCUAGAGAGUAGCUAGGACCUACUGUAUCAUGUGUGUUCUACUUCAGAAACCCCCCCCCACAAAACUUGCUGUAAACUCCACUUCUUUCCCUCUCCACAUUCGAGUUGGCCACCGUCUGCAUCUCUGAGCACAGCUGUGCUCACAGCAGAGGCACGGGGCAAUAGUGGGAGGUUGUCAACGCAAGCAUGGUCCAAAACGUAGGGCUGUAAACACACGAUUGGCUCACCAGCUUGGAUCGGAUUGUUGUUCGUUUAACUCGAAGAGACAGCCAAGACUAACUCACUACCUGCAGCUCAGACACCACAACACUGAACCUGGACAGCCCCGCAAACCCAGACAGACAGAUGUGGAUGCAGAGAUUCCUGGAUAAUUUUUCCGGAUACGGACACCAAUUCUGUAUCCGCGCAGCGCUCUAUGAAUCUGAAAGCAAAACCCACUCCAAGAGCAAAGUUGACAUUUGGCCAAGACAGACAAGGAAGAGGCGUUCCUACGCCGUGACUAGUCAACUGGACGCAUUUCGGUCUCACCCAUUGCUGUUGACACCUUAGGAGGACCUGACUGUUUCACAAUUGACAAUGUUCCUCAAGAACUCUCUCCCAAAACCACAGAGGCAGCACCAUGAGUAGCCAACACUAGUAGAUGGAGUAGCCCAACUUCCAGGCUUUGAGCAUUGGGCUGGCACCAAAUAAAUAUGGCACCUCCCAAACAUUCAGAGGAAAGUGAUGGCUUACAUUGACUACUCCCUAACGGCCAAUAGCCGGCAAGCCUCACUAAAUUCUUCCCAGCUCACUGCAUCCAUUUAGGGUGUUGGCUACACUAGGAAAGUUAGGAUCUAGAGUGGUACUGGGGUAAAUAUAGGUUAAUGGUUGCAAGAGUAGAAAGUCUAGUUUAGACAGGGUUGGGGUGUUUCUAACCACUAUUGUCUAACUCGGCUCCACACAGGGUUGUAUAUCUCCACCUCCGCGGUGAAUGACGGGUCCUAAUGUUGCCAGUUGAAGUGCAGGUUUAUGGCGAGUCUGCAACGAUCUCCCCCAAACAGAAACAUCACAUUGAAAAUCCAUUUGGAACUGGAAGACAACGCCCCCCCAACGGAAAAUGAAAGUGCAGGAAGGAGCUUUGGAGGGGGCGGCAUUCGACAGUGGCCUGUUUGGUAUGACUUAGUAACUCAGUCACCAAUGACUCAUUGCUAUACCGGCCUUAAGGUUUCAUUUAGCUAGACAGACAGCUGUAGUGCAGAUGUUAUAUAAAAAAUUGUGUCAGAGUACUUUCAUUCAGCUAAUGCUGCACUGAGAAUAGGCAUUCCAGUCCGACAGGAGAUGGAAACUCUUCUGGCACGUGUUAGUGAAAGUUGUUGAAAGUAUGAAACACACAAUUCUCUGGGGAUAAAUUUGUGAGCAAGCAUGCUUUUUAAAGAAUGCACACAGUAGCAAGAUACCAAAUCGGGAUCCUUUUAAAGAGAUGCUCAUCAGCUCAUGAGUCAGAUGGAAUUUUAAAAUGAGACUGAAAUACGGUGGUCAUAGCCUGUGAGCUCUGAACAGAAGGACACACACAUACACGUUUGCUUAUGAAACAACAAAAGGGGGGCGGAGGGAAGAGAACGGUACAGAAAACCGGUCUGACGGGAUUCCGGAGUACUUAUUUGUUCCCACGAAGAAUGAGAAUACGAUACUGUCCACAGAAUCAAAGGUCCGGUUACCAACAGGACACAAUCUGAGUGAAGACCUAGACAACAGACAUCCCCAAGCAGGAUGGGAGGAGGCUGGCGUUGAAUUAUCUACUUCGCAAAGGUAACACGAGAUACCAGUUCUCUGCAGUCACCUGUACCAGAUGGAAAGGACAGGCCCCGAUUCCACUUCUAACCAACAGCAGCUGCCGGAACGGAACCGGAACAGAGCGCAGGACCCCUCAGAUUGCACGUACAAAGGAAUUCUCAUGGCAUGCCGCAGCUGAUGAUGAUGUUACACCUCAAAGCCAAGGCCAGCCCUGGCGUUAGAAUGCUGUCACAGCACCUCUGGAAUGAUAAAAGCAUCAAAACACACAACGCUAAAUGUCUCCCAGGCAGCCAUGAGACAUGGGCAAGACACGGACAACACAUCACCACCUUAGGCAACUUGAUCGGACUGGGAAAGAAGAGGAUGCUAACCUGUCUCUGGGCGUGGUUACUGCAUUCAGAGCAGCCUGCGAGAUGUGUGCUUUAUUCCAGAUAGUCUGCUUAGCAAAGGAAGUUGAAACAACGACGAAACCAAAACUUCUUAGCUGCAGUCUCACUAUAUAGUUCAGAGGACGUCGUUAGCUGUUGGUGCUGUUCGUGGAACCUAAAUAAAGGAACCGGGGGAAAAUUGCUCAAUGCCAAAUAUUGUAAAUGAAGCCUUGAUCGAAUGGGACACAUAAGGCUUGUUCAGGAAAGCACAUCACUGGCAGCAUUUAAGUGCCAAUAACUUCAACAGCAUUCGAGCAUCGGGCGUCAGCGCUCUCCUGAACAGCAAUGUUUUCCUGAAUCGAGGCUUAACUGUUUCCAGCCUAAGUGAACCUGAGGGUUUCUCAGUUUGCUCUAUUAUUUCUGUCAGGUCAGACGUGCUAACUGGAAACCCACUAUCUAUCUAUCUGCAAAACCACCACCCCUGUCGUCCACUAAAGGCACCUUCCCUCCCUGCCUUUGUUAGGAAGCUUCCUGCAGAUGGUCUGAGGAAAAGACCGUACAAGGGAAUUGUGAAAAAGUCUGUGGCCUUCGGUUCAGUUUUAAAUGGCAGUUUAGGAAUUUGAGUUUUGCCAGAACACGGGGGUCCUUUUGAAUGCUCUUGAACCCAUCGCCUAUGCGGGCUGGGAGAGAACAGACAAGUUGUUCCGUGGAUUGGCCAGCUGAGACUACGAAUCAGCUGCAGCAGAGGGGACUUUCUAAGAACUUGGUGGGCCCACAUUUUGCUUCCAUUUAAGUCAAUGGGAGUUUUGCUGAGCGCUGCCAUCUUCUGGCUGUGUCAAUGGAAGCUGAGUCGUCGGCUCCUCUGGAAAUCCAUCCAAAUGUAACUCACAUGGACCCCAAAAGUCACUGGCUGCUUUUGUAAGUGUAUCUGUCAAAUAUUAAAUGUCGUUCAAAAUAUGAAGUCACUAGAACAUGUAUUGUUGUUGUUCAGGCCCUUCAGGGCAGGACCGUGGUGGCAUGGGGCACUCAGGGCUGGGGGUGUGAGGAGUCAGGGUUGGCAGAGGAGAAGGGGCUCAGGGCAGAGAGCUGGGAGGUGCAGGAGUCAGGAUUGGGAGGUGAGAAGGGGGGCCCCAGACAGGGUGUGCGCAGGAGCUGCACAGUGUCUCCCUGCAGCUGUGCUGCCUGGGGGGGAGGAGGGCAGGAAGCUUACCUCCACCCCUGCCCCCUUCUGCCUCAGUGAGGCUAUA
Pelodiscus sinensis (Chinese soft-shelled turtle) is the source of this 4494-nucleotide non-coding RNA. The record is from RefSeq and is a predicted model, not a curated record. NCBI's taxonomy places the organism in Eukaryota, Metazoa, Chordata, Testudines, Trionychidae.